CCUACGGGAGGCAGCAGUGAGGAAUAUUGGUCAAUGGGCGGGAGCCUGAACCAGCCAAGCCGCGUGCGGGAAGAAGGUUCAGCGUGUUGUAAACCUCUUUUGUACGGGGAUAAAGGCGGGGACUCGUACCCGGCUGAGGGUACCUGAAGAAAAAGCAUCGGCUAACUCCGUGCCAGCAGCCGCGGUAAUACGGAGGAUGCGAGCGUUAUCCGGAUUUAUUGGGUUUAAGGGGUGCGCAGGCGGCCGGUUAAGUCAGCGGUAAAAGCCCGGGGCACAACCCCGGCUAGCCGUUGAAACUGGUCGGCUAGAGUUUGAUUGAGGUAGGCGGAAUGUGCGGUGUAGCGGUGAAAUGCUUAGAGAUCACGCAGAACCCCGAUUGCGAAGGCAGCGUACC
This 394-nucleotide ribosomal RNA is filed under the name uncultured bacterium. RNAcentral describes it as "partial 16S ribosomal RNA". It matches the Rfam family "Bacterial small subunit ribosomal RNA", at positions 338 to 730 of the family's 1533-position model. The record is from RNAcentral.